UAUACUUUAUUAUUGUGUUGUAAUUAAGAAUUAAUUAACCAAACUCCAAAACAUCAUUAACGUACACAAAAACCCAAACCCAAACCCUACUCUCUCAGCAAUCAGCAUGCCACAACUACCAUACCAGCAGCUAUCAAUUUGUGGGGUUGAUCAUCAAUGGCUGAGUUUGUUGGUCUGAGGUUGUACAGUUGCUGUAACUGUAAAAACCAGGUUGCUCUUCAUGAUGAUGUCAUUUUUAAAGCAUUUCAGGGAAAAAAUGGCAGAGCAUUUCUAUUCUCGCAUGCGAUGAACGUGCUUCGACUGUCACGAGGUGCUGGGGUGGAAGUAUGAACGCGCUUACGAAGAAACACAGAAGUAAGGGAAGUUCAUACUUGGAAAAAUCAAAGAUCAUGAAGGAAAACUGGUAGCCUACUCUGUAUAGUAGUUUGAGUGUCUGUUGGUGUUCAGUGGGUGGUAUGUGGAUGUUCAUACAUCCUAGUAUUGAUAAUCAUUCCCUUCAACAAAAAAUCUUCAUUUAUUGUUCGUCAAUGCUGUGGUUUCUUGUCUGGAAUUAUUGUAUUGAAAAUCAUGGAUGUUUGAGAUCAUUUGUUAGUUAAUAUACAUUGAAAUUCACAAUUCUUCUUAUU
Molecule: long non-coding RNA, 626 nt
Organism: Ipomoea triloba (trilobed morning glory)
Lineage: Eukaryota; Viridiplantae; Streptophyta; Magnoliopsida; Solanales; Convolvulaceae
Exons: 3
Source: RefSeq, a predicted model, not a curated record